AUGAGAUACAAUAACUAAGUUAAUAAACCUAGUUAAAUGCCUAUUAGAUAAGCUAAAUGAUGAAACUUGUGGCAUUUAUGAUAGUAAGUUAAACUUGAGGGACUUAGAGUGCCAAACUUGGAAGUUUAAUUUAUUAAAACAAAAAUCACACACACAUCCACACAACGUGUGCGUGUGAUCGAGCAGGAGAAAAGGGGAAGGGGUGUAAACCCUAACCCACAUGAAAUCAUCAAAUUGGAAAAGGAUUUGAGGGUUAAUUGGAUGCAUGAACCAAGAUUUAUGAUCACUCAAGCAUUCUUGACACCAAGAUAGGAAUCCCAAAUUGACAUGGACUCAAGUAUGGAAAGCUAACGGGUCAAGCGGAGGUGAGGAAGCAAGCAUGAACACUAACGCUUAAGGUACUACACGGAUUUCUUCUGCUGCUAAGGAAGUGAAGCGGACGUAGAUCGAGUCAAGAGCAAGGAUUGUACGGAUAGAUCGGUCACAUAGUUGAAGUAUAUAAUGUCUAGAAAUCUAAAUUUUAGUAUGAAUGUUGUGAAUUCUUUUAUAGAACGUUUAACAUUUUUAGAAUUUGGAACCUUCGUGAAAGUAAUGUCGUUAAUAAGGAAAGAAAUUU
RNAcentral lists this long non-coding RNA (616 nucleotides) under Helianthus annuus (common sunflower). RNAcentral's name for it is "sRNA HanXRQr2_Chr02g0078071". The record is from RNAcentral. Lineage: Eukaryota; Viridiplantae; Streptophyta; Magnoliopsida; Asterales; Asteraceae.